UCCAGACUCCUACGGGAGGCAGCAGUGAGGAAUAUUGGUCAAUGGGCUUACGCCUGAACCAGCCAAGUCGCGUGAGGGAAGACUGCCCUAUGGGUUGUAAACCUCUUUUGUCAGGGAGCAACGCCGGCUACGUGUAGCCGGACUGAGAGUACCUGAAGAAAAAGCAUCGGCUAACUCCGUGCCAGCAGCCGCGGUAAUACGGAGGAUGCGAGCGUUAUCCGGAUUUAUUGGGUUUAAAGGGUGCGUAGGCGGACGCUUAAGCCAGCGGUAAAAUGGCGGGGCUCAACCUCGGCGAGCCGUUGAAACUGGGUGCCUUGAGUGGGCGAGAAGUACGCGGAAUGCGUGGUGUAGCGGUGAAAUGCAUAGAUAUCACGCAGAACUCCGAUUGCGAAGGCAGCAUACCGGCGCUCAACUGACGCUCAUGCACGAAAGCGUGGGUAUCGAACAGGAUUAGAUACCCUGGUAUA
Molecule: ribosomal RNA, 467 nt
Filed under: uncultured bacterium
Lineage: Bacteria
Description: bacterial SSU rRNA
Rfam family: Bacterial small subunit ribosomal RNA
Source: RNAcentral